AAAGACCUCAUACUGGAGAGAAACACUUUGAGUGUAACCAGUGUGAUAAAGGCUUUUCACAAAACAGUAAUAUCCAAAUACAUAAAAAUGAAAAUAUUGUGGAGAAACCCUAUUAGUGUAACCAAUGUAGUAAAGCCUUUACAUAUCAUGGUCAUCUUUGAAUACAUAAAAAAAACAUACUGCAGAGAAACCCUAUGAAUGUAGUCAAUGUUGUAAAGCCUUUGCAUGUCAGUAAUUUUCAAAGGCCUGAAAGAACCCACAAUGUGAGUGUAUUUAGUAUGGUGAAGGCUUUGCUCAUUUCUAUAGCCUUCAUCAUCAUGAAAGAAUCCAUAUUGGAGAGAAACCCUGUGAACGUAUUUAAUGUGCUAAAGCCUUUUCACAGUUCAUUAGUCCUGAUAAUCAUGAAAUAAUUCAUACCAGAGAGAAACCUUAUGAAUAUAUUUAAUAUGGCAAAGCCUUUCGUGAAAGCAUUCAUACUGGAGAGAAAUUCUGUGAGUGUAAGCAAUGUGGUAAAGCCUUUGUGUUAUGGGGUUCUCUGAGAUCAACAAAACUCAAACUCAGGUAAUGCAAGUGAUAAGAACUUAUACAAUCAAGCUGCUACGGAUGGAUCAGGGUCAGAGAACAUACUUGGAAACUGAGCUGUCACAUGUUGCCCAUC
RNAcentral lists this long non-coding RNA (658 nucleotides) under Rattus norvegicus (Norway rat). RNAcentral describes it as "long non-coding RNA NONRATT019781". The record is from RNAcentral. Lineage: Eukaryota; Metazoa; Chordata; Mammalia; Rodentia; Muridae.